AGAUUAAGUUAUUAAGGGCGCACGGUGGAUGCCUUGGCACUAGAAGCCGAUGAAGGACGUUACUAACGACGAUAUGCUUUGGGGAGCUGUAAGUAAGCUUUGAUCCAGAGAUUUCCGAAUGGGGAAACCCAGCAUGAGUUAUGUCAUGUUAUCGAUAUGUGAAUACAUAGCAUAUCAGAAGGCACACCCGGAGAACUGAAACAUCUUAGUACCCGGAGGAAGAGAAAGAAAAUUCGAUUCCCUUAGUAGCGGCGAGCGAAACGGGAAGAGCCCAAACCAACAAGCUUGCUUGUUGGGGUUGUAGGACACUCUAUACGGAGUUACAAAGGACGACAUUAGACGAAUCAUCUGGAAAGAUGAAUCAAAGAAGGUAAUAAUCCUGUAGUCGAAAAUGUUGUCUCUCUUGAGUGGAUCCUGAGUACGACGGAGCACGUGAAAUUCCGUCGGAAUCUGGGAGGACCAUCUCCUAAGGCUAAAUACUCUCUAGUGACCGAUAGUGAACCAGUACCGUGAGGGAAAGGUGAAAAGCACCCCGGAAGGGGAGUGAAAUAGAACCUGAAACCGUGUGCUUACAAGUAGUCAGAGCCCGUUAAUGGGUGAUGGCGUGCCUUUUGUAGAAUGAACCGGCGAGUUACGAUUUGAUGCAAGGUUAAGCAGUAAAUGUGGAGCCGUAGCGAAAGCGAGUCUGAAUAGGGCGUUUAGUAUUUGGUCGUAGACCCGAAACCAGGUGAUCUACCCUUGGUCAGGUUGAAGUUCAGGUAACACUGAAUGGAGGACCGAACCGACUUACGUUGAAAAGUGAGCGGAUGAACUGAGGGUAGCGGAGAAAUUCCAAUCGAACCUGGAGAUAGCUGGUUCUCUCCGAAAUAGCUUUAGGGCUAGCCUCAAGUGAUGAUUAUUGGAGGUAGAGCACUGUUUGGACGAGGGGCCCCUCUCGGGUUACCGAAUUCAGACAAACUCCGAAUGCCAAUUAAUUUAACUUGGGAGUCAGAACAUGGGUGAUAAGGUCCGUGUUCGAAAGGGAAACAGCCCAGACCACCAGCUAAGGUCCCAAAAUAUAUGUUAAGUGGAAAAGGAUGUGGCGUUGCCCAGACAACUAGGAUGUUGGCUUAGAAGCAGCCAUCAUUUAAAGAGUGCGUAAUAGCUCACUAGUCGAGUGACACUGCGCCGAAAAUGUACCGGGGCUAAACAUAUUACCGAAGCUGUGGAUUGUCCUUUGGACAAUGGUAGGAGAGCGUUCUAAGGGCGUUGAAGCAUGAUCGUAAGGACAUGUGGAGCGCUUAGAAGUGAGAAUGCCGGUGUGAGUAGCGAAAGACGGGUGAGAAUCCCGUCCACCGAUUGACUAAGGUUUCCAGAGGAAGGCUCGUCCGCUCUGGGUUAGUCGGGUCCUAAGCUGAGGCCGACAGGCGUAGGCGAUGGAUAACAGGUUGAUAUUCCUGUACCACCUAUAAUCGUUUUAAUCGAUGGGGGGGACGCAGUAGGAUAGGCGAAGCGUGCGAUUGGAUUGCACGUCUAAGCAGUAAGGCUGAGUAUUAGGCAAAUCCGGUACUCGUUAAGGCUGAGCUGUGAUGGGGAGAAGACAUUGUGUCUUCGAGUCGUUGAUUUCACACUGCCGAGAAAAGCCUCUAGAUAGAAAAUAGGUGCCCGUACCGCAAACCGACACAGGUAGUCAAGAUGAGAAUUCUAAGGUGAGCGAGCGAACUCUCGUUAAGGAACUCGGCAAAAUGACCCCGUAACUUCGGGAGAAGGGGUGCUCUUUAGGGUUAACGCCCAGAAGAGCCGCAGUGAAUAGGCCCAAGCGACUGUUUAUCAAAAACACAGGUCUCUGCUAAACCGUAAGGUGAUGUAUAGGGGCUGACGCCUGCCCGGUGCUGGAAGGUUAAGAGGAGUGGUUAGCUUCUGCGAAGCUACGAAUCGAAGCCCCAGUAAACGGCGGCCGUAACUAUAACGGUCCUAAGGUAGCGAAAUUCCUUGUCGGGUAAGUUCCGACCCGCACGAAAGGCGUAACGAUUUGGGCACUGUCUCAACGAGAGACUCGGUGAAAUCAUAGUACCUGUGAAGAUGCAGGUUACCCGCGACAGGACGGAAAGACCCCGUGGAGCUUUACUGUAGCCUGAUAUUGAAAUUCGGCACAGCUUGUACAGGAUAGGUAGGAGCCUUUGAAACGUGAGCGCUAGCUUACGUGGAGGCGCUGGUGGGAUACUACCCUAGCUGUGUUGGCUUUCUAACCCGCACCACUUAUCGUGGUGGGAGACAGUGUCAGGCGGGCAGUUUGACUGGGGCGGUCGC
This 2289-nucleotide ribosomal RNA is filed under the name Staphylococcus aureus. Its description in RNAcentral is "partial 23S ribosomal RNA". It matches the Rfam family "Bacterial large subunit ribosomal RNA", at positions 1 to 2286 of the family's 2925-position model. Lineage: Bacteria; Bacillati; Bacillota; Bacilli; Caryophanales; Staphylococcaceae. The record is from RNAcentral.